RNAcentral lists this ribosomal RNA (253 nucleotides) under uncultured bacterium. Its description in RNAcentral is "partial 16S ribosomal RNA". It matches the Rfam family "Bacterial small subunit ribosomal RNA", at positions 524 to 776 of the family's 1533-position model. The record is from RNAcentral.
GACAGAGGAUGCAAGCGUUAUCCGGAAUGAUUGGGCGUAAAGCGUCUGUAGGUGGCUUUUCAAGUCCGCCAUCAAAUCCCAGGGCUCAACCCUGGACAGGCGGUGGAAACUACCAAGCUGGAGUACGGUAGGGGCAGAGGGAAUUUCCAGUGGAGCGGUGAAAUGCAUUGAGAUCGGAAAGAAUACCAACGGCGAAAGCACUCUGCUGGGCCGACACUGACACUGAGAGACGAAAGCUAGGGGAGCAAAUGGG